GCUGUAGCUUAGCGAUAGAGCAUCUGCUUUGAGUGCAGAAGGCUCCAGGUUCAAUCCCUGGCAUCUCCA
Molecule: non-coding RNA, 69 nt
Organism: Podarcis lilfordi (Lilford's wall lizard)
Lineage: Eukaryota; Metazoa; Chordata; Lepidosauria; Squamata; Lacertidae
Source: the annotation of a GenBank genome assembly